RNAcentral lists this ribosomal RNA (491 nucleotides) under uncultured bacterium. Its description in RNAcentral is "partial 16S ribosomal RNA". It matches the Rfam family "Bacterial small subunit ribosomal RNA", at positions 30 to 507 of the family's 1533-position model. The record is from RNAcentral.
UUGAACGCUGGCGGUAGGCCUAACACAUGCAAGUCGAACGGCAGCACAGUAAGAGCUUGCUCUUACGGGUGGCGAGUGGCGGACGGGUGAGGAAUACAUCGGAAUCUACUUUUUCGUGGGGGAUAACGUAGGGAAACUUACGCUAAUACCGCAUACGACCUACGGGUGAAAGCAGGGGAUCUUCGGACCUUGCGCGAUUGAAUGAGCCGAUGUCGGAUUAGCUAGUUGGCGGGGUAAAGGCCCACCAAGGCGACGAUCCGUAGCUGGUCUGAGAGGAUGAUCAGCCACACUGGAACUGAGACACGGUCCAGACUCCUACGGGAGGCAGCAGUGGGGAAUAUUGGACAAUGGGCGCAAGCCUGAUCCAGCCAUACCGCGUGGGUGAAGAAGGCCUUCGGGUUGUAAAGCCCUUUUGUUGGGAAAGAAAAGCAGCAGGUUAAUACCCCGCUGUUCUGACGGUACCCAAAGAAUAAGCACCGGCUAACUUCGUG